AGGCGUGACACGGGGUGCCACCGUGGCUGCGUGAGGCAGGUGCGGCGCCGGGAGGCGAUGGCUGAGAUGACACCCGUUGAACCUGAUCCAGUUAGCACUGGCGGAGGGAUGGUCGCGAGAACGCGUG
This 127-nucleotide non-coding RNA is filed under the name Corynebacterium appendicis. RNAcentral describes it as "TPP sequence". It matches the Rfam family "TPP riboswitch aptamer (THI element)". Rfam says of the family: Vitamin B(1) in its active form thiamin pyrophosphate (TPP) is an essential coenzyme that is synthesised by coupling of pyrimidine and thiazole moieties in bacteria. The previously detected thiamin-regulatory element, thi box was extended, resulting in a new, highly conserved RNA secondary structure, the THI element, which is widely distributed in eubacteria and also occurs in some archaea. Lineage: Bacteria; Bacillati; Actinomycetota; Actinomycetes; Mycobacteriales; Corynebacteriaceae. RNAcentral also lists the same sequence under 1 other name. The record is from RNAcentral.